Non-coding RNA from Notechis scutatus (mainland tiger snake), 342 nucleotides. NCBI's taxonomy places the organism in Eukaryota, Metazoa, Chordata, Lepidosauria, Squamata, Elapidae. The record is from RefSeq and is a predicted model, not a curated record.
CUCAUAAACAAUGCCAUUGUUUUAUUCGAGGGAUGAAGGUGGAGGUGGAAGGUCUGCCUCAGUAUUCUGGAAAUACCAUUUUACAAAAUGCAGCUUCUUUAGGUCCGUGUUUUUCUUUGGCAACACCUGAGCUAAGGAAUCUCUGAAUCAUUAUGUUGGGUUUAGGUCAAGGUGCCAGAUGAGAAGUCUCCCAUCCUAAAACUGAUCCUGAUCCCUGUCUAUUUUGAAUACACCAUAGUGGGUGUAUUCCCAUUCUUGGGGACAUAUCGGGUGGGUGUGUUUGCUGUGUAUAUUGACAACAUGCAAGUUUUAGGGAAACCUAAAGUGAGAUCAGUCUCCUCC